This 773-nucleotide ribosomal RNA is filed under the name uncultured Neocallimastigales. RNAcentral's name for it is "partial large subunit ribosomal RNA". It matches the Rfam family "Eukaryotic large subunit ribosomal RNA", at positions 24 to 643 of the family's 3401-position model. Lineage: Eukaryota; Fungi; Neocallimastigomycota; Neocallimastigomycetes; Neocallimastigales. The record is from RNAcentral.
UAUCUCUGUAGAGUCUGCAUAUCAAUAAGCGGAGGAAAAGAAACUAACAAGGAUUCCCUUAGUAACGGCGAGUGAAGCGGGAAGAGCUCAAAUUUGAAAUCUUCAAGGUUCUACCUUGACGAAUUGUAGUUUAAAGAAGUGUUUUCUGUUAGAUGAGUAGCAAAAGUUCCUUGGAAUGGGACAUCAUAGAGGGUGAGAAUCCCGUAUUUGGUUAUUCAUUCUAGCUUUGUGAUACACUUUCCAAGAGUCGGAUUGUUUGGGAAUGCAGUCCAAAAUGGGUGGUAAAUUUCAUCUAAAGCUAAAUAUUGGCGAGAGACCGAUAGCGAACAAGUACCGUGAGGGAAAGAUGAAAAGAACUUUGAAAAGAGAGUUAAACAGUACGUGAAAUUGUCAAAAGGGAAGCGUUUGACACCAGUGUUGUUUUUCCGAAAAUCAAUUACGAAUGGCUUGAUUUUGUGUUGUAUUGACCUUAUCAGCUUUCUGCACUUUUUUCGAGUCUUUCUUAAUGCACUUUUCGGUUAACAAGUCAACAUCAAUUUCUUUUGUUGUAAAAGAGUAUUCGGAAGGUGGCUUUCUUUUCGGAGAAAGUGUUUAUAGCCCUAUACUUCUACAAUCGGAGAGAUUGAGGUCUGCAGCGUAGAUCCUUCGGGGUUAGAUACACUUGUGCUAAGUUGUAGCUUUUCAUAGACAACUUGUUGACUAUGUUUAGUCAUGCGGCUUACUCGCUUGUGCUAUUUUACCUACGCUUAGGAUGUUGACUGAUAUGUAGUCGU